GAGUUUGAUCCUGGCUCAGAACGAACGCUGGCGGCAGGCCUAACACAUGCAAGUCGAGCGCUACCUUCGGGUGGAGCGGCGGACGGGUUAGUAACGCGUGGGAAUAUACCCAGUUCUAAGGAAUAGCCACUGGAAACGGUGAGUAAUACCUUAUACGCCCUUCGGGGGAAAGAUUUAUCGGAAUUGGAUUAGCCCGCGUUAGAUUAGAUAGUUGGUGGGGUAAUGGCCUACCAAGUCUACGAUCUAUAGCUGGUUUGAGAGGAUGAUCAGCAACACUGGGACUGAGACACGGCCCAGACUCCUACGGGAGGCAGCAGUGGGGAAUCUUAGACAAUGGGCGCAAGCCUGAUCUAGCCAUGCCGCGUGAGUGAAGAAGGCCCUUGGGUUGUAAAGCUCUUUCGUCGGGGAAGAAAAUGACUGUACCCGAAUAAGAAGGUCCGGCUAACUUCGUGCCAGCAGCCGCGGUAAUACGAAGGGACCUAGCGUAGUUCGGAAUUACUGGGCUUAAAGAGUUCGUAGGUGGUUGAAAAAGUUAGUGGUGAAAUCCCAGAGCUUAACUCUGGAACUGCCAUUAAAACUUUUCAGCUAGAGUAUGAUAGAGGAAAGCAGAAUUUCUAGUGUAGAGGUGAAAUUCGUAGAUAUUAGAAAGGAUACCAAUUGCGAAGGCAGUUUUCUGGAUCAUUACUGACACUGAGGAACGAAAGCAUGGGUAGCGGAGAGGAUUAGAUACCCUCGUAGUCCAUGCCGUAAACGAUGUGUGUUAGACGUUGGAAAUUUAUUUUCAGUGUCGCAGGGAAACCGAUAAACACACCGCCUGGGGAGUACGACCGCAAGGUUAAAACUCAAAUGAAUUAACGGGGACCCGCACAAGUAGUGGAGCAUGUGGUUUAAUUCGAAGAUACGCGCAGAACCUUACCAACACUUGACAUGUUCGUCGCGACUCUAAGAGAUUAGAGUUUUCGGUUCGGCCGGACGAAACACAGGUGCUGCAUGGCUGUCGUCAGCUCGUGUCGUGAGAUGUUGGGUUAAGUCCCGCAACGAGCGCAACCCUCACUUUUAGUUGCCAUCAUUAAGUUGGGCACUCUGAAAGAACUGCCAGUGAUAAGCUGGAGGAAGGUGGGGAUGACGUCAAGUCCUCAUGGCCCUUACGUGUUGGGCUACACACGUGCUACAAUGGCAUCUACAACAGGAAGCAAAACGGCAACGUUAAGCAAAUCCCGAAAAGAUGCCUCAGUUCGGAUUGCACUCUGCAACUCGAGUGCAUGAAGCUGGAAUUACUAGUAAUCGUGGAUCAGCGUGCCACGGUGAAUGCGUUCCCGGGUCUUGUACACACCGCCCGUCACACCAUGGGAGUUGGUUCUACCUUAAGGCAAGGUUUUAAACCCUUGACCACGGUAUAGUCAGCGACUGGGGUGAAGUCGUAACAAGGUAACC
RNAcentral lists this ribosomal RNA (1434 nucleotides) under uncultured marine bacterium. RNAcentral describes it as "16S ribosomal RNA". It matches the Rfam family "Bacterial small subunit ribosomal RNA". The record is from RNAcentral.